UACGGGGGGGGCAAGCGUUGUUCGGAAUUACUGGGCGUAAAGGGCUCGUAGGCGGCCAACUAAGUCAGACGUGAAAUCCCUCGGCUUAACCGGGGAACUGCGUCUGAUACUGGAUGGCUCGAGUUUGGGAGAGGGAUGCGGAAUUCCAGGUGUAGCGGUGAAAUGCGUAGAUAUCUGGAGGAACGCCGGUGGCGAAGGCGGCAUCCUGGACCAACACUGACGCUGAUGAGCGAAAGCCAGGGGAGCAAACGGG
Molecule: ribosomal RNA, 253 nt
Filed under: uncultured bacterium
Lineage: Bacteria
Description: partial 16S ribosomal RNA
Rfam family: Bacterial small subunit ribosomal RNA
Source: RNAcentral